CCAUGAAGUUGGAUUCGCUAGUAAUCGCGCAUCAGCCAUGGCGCGGUGAAUACGUUCCCGGGCCCUUGUACACACCGCCCGUCAAGCCAUGGGAGCCGGGGGCGCCUGAAGUCCGGGACCGCGAGGACCGGCCUAGGGCGAAACUGGUAACUGGGGCUAAGUCGUAACAAGGUACC
RNAcentral lists this ribosomal RNA (176 nucleotides) under uncultured bacterium. RNAcentral describes it as "partial 16S ribosomal RNA". It matches the Rfam family "Bacterial small subunit ribosomal RNA", at positions 1318 to 1500 of the family's 1533-position model. The record is from RNAcentral.